AUUGAACGCUGGCGGCAUGCUUUACACAUGCAAGUCGAACGGCAGCGCGGGCUUCGGCCUGGCGGCGAGUGGCGAACGGGUGAGUAAUACAUCGGAACGUGCCCAGUAGUGGGGGAUAGCUCGGCGAAAGCCGGAUUAAUACCGCAUACGACCUGAGGGUGAAAGCGGGGGAUCUUCGGACCUCUCGCUAUUUGAGCGGCCGAUGGCAGAUUAGCUAGUUGGUGGGGUAAAGGCCUACCAAGGCGACGAUCUGUAGCUGGUCUGAGAGGACGACCAGCCACACGGGGACUGAGACACGGCCAAGACUCCUACGGGAGGCAGCAGUGGGGAAUUUUGGACAAUGGGGGAAAGCAUGAUCCAGCAAUGCCGCGUGUGUGAUGAAGGCCUUCGGGUUGUAAAGCACUUUUGGCGGGAACGAAAAGGACUGUGCCAAUACCACGGUUCGAUGACGGUACCCGCAGAAUAAGCACCGGCUAACUACGUG
RNAcentral lists this ribosomal RNA (484 nucleotides) under uncultured bacterium. RNAcentral describes it as "partial 16S ribosomal RNA". It matches the Rfam family "Bacterial small subunit ribosomal RNA", at positions 29 to 507 of the family's 1533-position model. The record is from RNAcentral.